UGCUGUUUACGAAUUGAUUGGUUUCUGUCCAUCAUCUUUAUUUUUAAGAAAUUUGAUGUCAUAUUGAUUCCAGAGUUAAUAUUAUUAGGGUUUCUUCUCUCAUUGCUCUCGAUUGAAUUGGUGCGUUUUGUUCUUCGUAUUCUUGUUUCUAAAUUGUGGAUAUUGAUUAAUUUGUGUUUGAUCAUAAUUCCGACUUUGUUAUUUUUUAUUUUUGGUUUUGGAUUACUGGGAAGACCGCUGAGAUGGCAUCAAAAUCCACUCCCGGUGUUAUCCGUCACGAACGUCGAUUGGUGAGAUAUUACCCAUUCACUAGCGGGAGCAGCUCUGCUGUGAAAGAGGAGAUGAAAAAGGAGGUUAUACAACUAGGGGUUAAGCUUUCUCUCUCGUCUUUGAAUCCAUGUUCUUACUUUGUGAUGAUAUCCGUACUAUGUUGUUCUUCUGCCAAAAGUUAUGGAGAGAUUAUAAUAGGUGCCCCGAUCCCGUAUUCGAAAGGCUGCUUCGUGUUUUGCAUUAUGUCUACUUAAGAUAUCAAACCCAAGAAAAGAGUGUUUAAGAAUUAUGGUCAAUACGCCCAGUGGAGACUGAUCAGUACCACUUGGGAGGAUUUUGCUAAUGGAGUCAUGGUUAUGUUUAGCCUUGUUAGGGUUCUCAGAAGAAAAGAUUGGUCUUACGAUAAUCAUGAUCGACUUUUAUUUUCGGCUAUUGAAAAAUUCAAGCAAGUGUUGAAGAGGCUAGAUGAUAAACUGAGGUCUAAAAAGAAUGAUUGGGAGAAGAAUGGGUUUAUGAGGGAGACCAUAGAGCCUAACAUUUAUGAGUUGUGGAAGUCUAUCUUUGAUGAAAAAGCUAAAGAAACCACACAUACUCUGAAAGAGAUAAGGAAUAGAAUUAUUAGCUGCAUCUUUGAUCCUAUUGCAGGCAAACCUAUCCAUAGAAAGAUAAGGGCAAUGCCCCCACAUACACCUUACAUGUUCGGGUCAGUCAUAUUGUGAGUAAAAUUUUAAAUAAUUCUUCGUUGCAAAUUUUUUACUUUUUAAGUGUAUUUUUGUUUUGCAAGAAUGAUUUUCCAAAGCAAGAACUGAAAGAGGAAGUUGUGAAACUAGGAAUUGAAAGACUGCUUUAUGUUAAUUAUGCUAUCCAGCCUAAGGAUAAAGCAUUUGAGAAUGAUGAUGCCAGAUGGGUCCAAUGGAAAGUGAUCAGAACCACUAUGAAGGAUUUUGCGGCUGGAAUCAGAGAUCUAGAUCGCCUUGUUACGAUUCUUAGAGGAGAAGGAAGCUAUUCAGAUGACCGAGAGUUUACAUCUAGAAUUGAAGCACUGAAGAGGAUAGAUGACAAGUUGAGGUGUACUAAAAAAAAUUCAGAGGAGAAUGGGUUUGCGAGGGAAAUGAUGGAGUCUAACAUUUUGGAGUUGUGGAGGUUUCUCUUUGACAAAAAAGCGAAGGGAGCAUGGAAACCUAGAGUGAUGAGGAGGAUCGUGUCUCUCACUGACCUGUAUAAACCUCUAUUAGAAAGGACAUUAUAAGAACAUUAGGUUACUACUAGUUUAUUCUUUGCUUCUAUCUUUUAAUUUAUGUAAUAGAUGGAAUACUUGUUAAUUAACCGUUAUUUUAGUUUCAAA
Long non-coding RNA from Brassica napus (rape), 1615 nucleotides. RefSeq lists it as uncharacterized. The transcript has 2 exons. The record is from RefSeq and is a predicted model, not a curated record. Lineage: Eukaryota; Viridiplantae; Streptophyta; Magnoliopsida; Brassicales; Brassicaceae.